AGGUCAUUUCAAAGAGGGCUUGUGGGGCUGUGAGACCAGGAGCUCUUAACGCUGUGACCGAAAAUUAAAGAUCUCCACAGACUGUCACAGUCACUCAACAGUGUGCUGUCUUUUCUGAGGAGAUACAAGA
This 130-nucleotide small nucleolar RNA is filed under the name Procavia capensis (Cape rock hyrax). Its description in RNAcentral is "Small nucleolar RNA SNORA25 (ENSPCAG00000019759.1)". It matches the Rfam family "Small nucleolar RNA SNORA25". From Rfam's summary of the family: ACA25 is a member of the H/ACA class of snoRNA that guide the sites of modification of uridines to pseudouridines. Lineage: Eukaryota; Metazoa; Chordata; Mammalia; Hyracoidea; Procaviidae. The record is from RNAcentral.